Molecule: ribosomal RNA, 496 nt
Filed under: uncultured bacterium
Lineage: Bacteria
Description: partial 16S ribosomal RNA
Rfam family: Bacterial small subunit ribosomal RNA
Source: RNAcentral
AUGAACGCUGGCGGCGUGCCUAAUACAUGCCAGUCGAGCGCACAGACGAGGAGCUUGCUCCUCUGACGUUAGCGGCGGACGGGUGAGUAACACGUGGAUAACCUACCUAUAAGACUGGGAUAACUUCGGGAAACCGGAGCUAAUACCGGAUAAUAUAUUGAACCGCAUGGUUCAAUAGUGAAAGACGGUUUUGCUGUCACUUAUAGAUGGAUCCGCGUCGCAUUAGCUAGUUGGUAAGGUAACGGCUUACCAAGGCAACGAUGCGUAGCCGACCUGAGAGGGUGAUCGGCCACACUGGAACUGAGACACGGUCCAGACUCCUACGGGAGGCAGCAGUAGGGAAUCUUCCGCAAUGGGCGAAAGCCUGACGGAGCAACGCCGCGUGAGUGAUGAAGGUCUUCGGAUCGUAAAACUCUGUUAUUAGGGAAGAACAAAUGUGUAAGUAACUAUGCACGUCUUGACGGUACCUAAUCAGAAAGCCACGGCUAACUACGUG